AGGGCCCUACGGGAGGCAGCAGUGGGGAAUAUUGCGCAAUGGACGAAAGUCUGACGCAGCGACGCCGCGUGAGGGAUGAAGGUUUUCGGAUCGUAAACCUCUGUCAGGAGGGAAGAAAGCGCAUGGCGCCAAUCAGCCAUGCGUUGACGGUACCUCCAAAGGAAGCGCCGACUAACUCCGUGCCAGCAGCCGCGGUAAUACGGAGGGCGCGAGCGUUAAUCGGAAUUACUGGGCGUAAAGCGCACGUAGGCUGUUGUGUAAGUGGGGGGGGUAAUCCAACGGCUCAA
Molecule: ribosomal RNA, 287 nt
Filed under: uncultured bacterium
Lineage: Bacteria
Description: partial 16S ribosomal RNA
Rfam family: Bacterial small subunit ribosomal RNA
Source: RNAcentral